RNAcentral lists this non-coding RNA (29 nucleotides) under Homo sapiens (human). Lineage: Eukaryota; Metazoa; Chordata; Mammalia; Primates; Hominidae. The record is from RNAcentral.
UACAUAGGUAAACGUGUGCCAUGGUGGUU